UAGACAAAUACUGCAAUGCCA
This 21-nucleotide non-coding RNA is filed under the name Arabidopsis thaliana (thale cress). The record is from RNAcentral. Lineage: Eukaryota; Viridiplantae; Streptophyta; Magnoliopsida; Brassicales; Brassicaceae.